RNAcentral lists this ribosomal RNA (460 nucleotides) under uncultured bacterium. RNAcentral's name for it is "partial 16S ribosomal RNA". It matches the Rfam family "Bacterial small subunit ribosomal RNA", at positions 338 to 795 of the family's 1533-position model. The record is from RNAcentral.
CCUACGGGAGGCAGCAGGGAGGAAUAUUGGGCAAUGGGCGAGAGCCUGAACCAGCCAAGUCGCGGGAAGGAUGACGGCCCUACGGGUUGUAAACUUCGGUUGUCAGGGAGCAAGUGGGUCCACGCGUGGGCUUAGCGAGAGGACCUGAAGAAAAAGCACCGGCUAACUCCGUGCCAGCAGCCGCGGUAAUACGGAGGAUGCGAGCGUGAGCCGGAUUUAUUGGGUUGAAAGGGGGCGUAGGCGGAAUAUCAAGUCAGCGGUAAAAAUUCGGGGCUCAACCCCGUCGUGCCGUUGAAACUGCUGUUCUUGAGUGGGCGAGAAGUAUGCGGAAUGCGUGGUGUAGCGGUGAACUGCCUAGAUAUCACGCAGAACUCCGAUUGCGAAGGCAGCAUACCGGCGCCCAACUGACGCUGAGGCACGAAAGCGUGGGUAUCGAACAGGAUUAGAUCCCCGUGUAGUC